GUCUACAGCCAUGCUACCCUGAACAAGUCUGAUCUUGUCUGAUCUCAGAAGCAGGGUCAGGCCUGGUUAGUACUUGGAUGGGAGACCACCUAGGAAGACCAGGUGCUGUAGGUG
This 114-nucleotide ribosomal RNA is filed under the name Pteropus alecto (black flying fox). The record is from RNAcentral. Lineage: Eukaryota; Metazoa; Chordata; Mammalia; Chiroptera; Pteropodidae.